UACAUAGGGGGCAAGCGUUAUCCGGAUUUAUUGGGUUUAAAGGGAGCGUAGGCCGCAUGUCAAGCGUGCUGUGAAAUGUCUGGGCUCAACCCGGGCCUUGCAGCGCGAACUGGCGUGCUUGAGUCCGCGGAAAGCAGGCGGAAUUCGUCGUGUAGCGGUGAAAUGCUUAGAUAUGACGAAGAACCCCGAUUGCGAAGGCAGCUUGCUGCAGCGGAACUGACGCUGAUGCUCGAAAGCGCGGGUAUCGAACA
This 251-nucleotide ribosomal RNA is filed under the name uncultured bacterium. RNAcentral's name for it is "partial 16S ribosomal RNA". It matches the Rfam family "Bacterial small subunit ribosomal RNA", at positions 524 to 774 of the family's 1533-position model. The record is from RNAcentral.